CAGUCCUGUGGUGUUGAAGUAAGUAGUUCAACAUAAAGUAAAGAUGUCCUUACGAUUACCCUUGCCGUCACAGGAGAGGUGUCUCUAAACACACAGUGAAGAAAAGACAAUUUCAAAUAACCAUUCAGAACAAAAGCUGAUGGCUUAUGACAACAUCUGACACUAUGAGGUCUGUGUCUAACCUGCCCGCAUUGGAUUAUCCUAUUCCAGAUAGGUGGGCAAAGACGACCUUCCAAUGUGAGAAAGGCGAAGUAAAGAUUCUGAAUGUGCUUUCAUGAGCCCAUUUAA
Molecule: long non-coding RNA, 288 nt
Filed under: Chrysolophus pictus (golden pheasant)
Lineage: Eukaryota; Metazoa; Chordata; Aves; Galliformes; Phasianidae
Description: lncRNA (ENSCPIG00010001401.1)
Source: RNAcentral